Molecule: ribosomal RNA, 245 nt
Filed under: uncultured bacterium
Lineage: Bacteria
Description: partial 16S ribosomal RNA
Rfam family: Bacterial small subunit ribosomal RNA
Source: RNAcentral
UACAGAGGUCCCGAGCGUUGUUCGGAUUCACUGGGCGUAAAGGGUGCGUAGGUGGCGGACUAAGUCGGGUGUGAAAUCUCCGGGCUCAACCCGGAGGGUGCGCCCGAAACUGGAUCGCUGGAGGAUGGGAGGGGAGACUGGAAUUCUCGGUGUAGCAGUGAAAUGCGUAGAUAUCGAGAGGAACACCGGUGGCGAAGGCGAGUCUCUGGACCAUUCCUGACACUGAGGCACGAAAGCCGGGGGAG